Molecule: ribosomal RNA, 130 nt
Filed under: uncultured bacterium
Lineage: Bacteria
Description: partial 16S ribosomal RNA
Source: RNAcentral
GUUAGCCGACACUUAUUCCUUGGCUACCGUCCUUCCUCGUCACCAAGAAAAGGGCUUUACGAUCCGAAAACCUUCAUCGCCCACGCGGCGUCGCUGCUUCAGGCUUGCGCCCAUUGAGCAAUAUUCCUCA